AUGAAUCUUGAUAAUUAUGGGACUGAAUAUGAUCCACCUUUACCUAGGCGUUCCAAGAAUUCAGAAUUUGUUGAUCUUGAUGCUAAAUUUGAUAAAAGUGAGAUUGAAGAAAUUAAAACCCUAGAUGUUGCUAAACCCACUAUUAUGGAUUUCAAGGAAUUUAACUAUGAAAAUUUCUCUUGGAUUGAUUGUAUUUCCUUGUUGCAAUCCGUGCUAAAUUCUCCUCACGCUUAUAGUCAAAAUAAAGCGUUUACUAAACAUAUCGUGGAUGCCUUGAUGCAAACUUAUGAAGAAAAACUUGAAUUGGAAGUUUCUAUCCCUAGAAAACUUUAUGAUGAGUGGGGACCAACUAUUAAAAUUAAAAUUAAAGAUCAUGAAUGCUAUGCUUUAUGUGAUUUGGGUGCAGUAUUUCCACGAUUCCAAAGACUUUGUGUGAUUUGUUAG
Molecule: ribosomal RNA, 444 nt
Filed under: Triticum aestivum (bread wheat)
Lineage: Eukaryota; Viridiplantae; Streptophyta; Magnoliopsida; Poales; Poaceae
Description: partial small subunit ribosomal RNA
Source: RNAcentral